Molecule: ribosomal RNA, 253 nt
Filed under: uncultured bacterium
Lineage: Bacteria
Description: partial 16S ribosomal RNA
Rfam family: Bacterial small subunit ribosomal RNA
Source: RNAcentral
UACGGAGGGUGCAAGCGUUAUCCGGAUUUACUGGGUUUAAAGGGUGCGCAGGCGGACUAUUAAGUCAGUGGUGAAAGCCCCGGGCUCAACCUGGGAAUUGCCAUUGAUACUGGUGGUCUUGAGUAUAGUUGAGGUAGGCGGAAUGCAACAUGUAGCGGUGAAAUGCUUAGAUAUGUUGCAGAACACCGAUUGCGAAGGCAGCUUGCUAAACUAUUACUGACGCUCAGGCACGAAAGCGUGGGGAUCAAACAGG